Non-coding RNA from Heterocephalus glaber (naked mole-rat), 3408 nucleotides. NCBI's taxonomy places the organism in Eukaryota, Metazoa, Chordata, Mammalia, Rodentia, Bathyergidae. The record is from RefSeq and is a predicted model, not a curated record.
GACUCCCACAGUGCACCGCGGUCCCUCCGGCGCGCUCCGGGCGCCCAGGCUGGGGCUUCCGAGUGGAGAAUUGGUGAGGCCGGAUUGGGAGGGGUCGUGGUCAAGUCGGGCUUGGCAGAGAGGCCAGUACCUGGUCCACUCGGCUGUCCUGUGUCUGGAGCCCACAACAGCCCAGGCGGAUCAGACAGCGCGCUUCAUUCUACCGGGAGGUUCCUACACGGAGGCUGUGCUUUUCCCACCCUGCUAUCUGUCGAGGACAGAGGGGACACAAGAGACAGACUGUUCUUAUGCCAUUUCAUAAUCAGUUUAACUUCUGACCUACAGUGCCAGGUUGGGGCCUGCUCGUGAUGGGCAUGUUGAUAAUCAUUUGGGACCAGCUCUGGGUUGGACGCAAUAUUAAAGGCUGGGACUACAAACAGAAAACAGUCUCUGACCAGCAGUCUGGUUGAAGAGGAAGACAGGCAGGAAAACAAUGCGGUUUGGAAAGUGCUAACAUUUAAAGUGAGGAAGCAGGCCACACCUAGAUGCGAUGGAUGGAAGAGUUCUGGGCAGAGUAGACGGCAGAGACAAAGGAUCUGAGGCAGGAGUGUCCUUGGCUUGUGUGGCUGGUCUGUGGAUAGAAGGCCACAGCUCCUGUGCGAUGCCCGCUCCAUGGAGCUCCUGUCUCCCUCUCCAUCCUUCCCCUCACAUCUUGCGGUUUAGGAGUGGAUCCCGAGCCUCUUAGUUCCCAGCUCCGGUGCUGCGCUCUCCCGUGUGGGUUCCCCACACCUGCCCACACCAUUGUAAACACUUCCUUAGUUCACCCACUUUAUGCCAUCUGUUUCCUGCUAAAACUCAGUCCCAUCCGUGAUCAGAGGAUUUUGAGAGGGGAGUGAUACAAUCUGAUUGUCAAUGUCACAGGCUUGAGUACACUACUGGAUUAGAGCGUGGGUGCAGGGAACAAGUUCGGAGGCUCUUGCGAUGGAUGUGAUGCAGGGAGGGCCUUCGGUGAUGCUAGAAAGCAAGGUGUGGCUGUGUUUUUAGUGCCUGCCUUCCAUUAUGUGCUGUGUGGCAGCCUGCUCUGUGAUCCAGGCCAGCAGGUUAAUAGUGAAGGUCUCAGAGGCAGUAGCCUUGCCCAAAACUGUGUUUUGCAUUAGAUACUACUCCUGUUUUCCUUUUAGUUUAUCGUUGAACAUGGCCCACUGGAUCCUUCACUUCAAGUGGCCCAAUGUCAUUAGAUAGCAUUCAGUCAAGUGACAGGGGGAGCAGAGGGGGAAAGUCAAAAGAACUAAGGUGUGUUGUGUCAGUGUGCAACUCCCUAUCAUGAAUGUAAUCAACGUAUACUGCAAGUAGGUACUAAUACAAAUUUUUUUUAAUUAAAAAAAUUAAUCAAGUGACAAUCAACUCUGAGGGGAAUGUAAAAGAAUUACUACUUUUGAUCCCUGUUCUCCAGCUUCUUUUAGAGAGAGAAAGAAUAUACCCAAAGCCAUCGUAGUGUGCUGAAUUAUGACUGCAUUCCACAGGAAGUGCAAGAGCCAGCAUGUGGGCUGGGGGUUAGGACGACUUCGUGGAGAGCAUGGAACUGGGGUUGGGCAUGAAUGGUGCAGAGAGGGGCAGCCAUUUCAGUACAAGAACCCCUUUUUAGGGAGGACUCAGGCCUCACUGGGGACAGCGGGGAACAGUGGCUUACCUGAUACAGGGUGCGGCAUGGGUCUGUAGGUGCGGCCCCUCUGGGUGUGGACUGCAAGGCUGAUGUGCUGGGCAGUGGGCUGCUGAGGUCCCCAAUUCAAAGGAGGAUCAGGACAGUUUCCAGGAAAGGAUCCUGGCCCUUGCUGUUGAUGUGCUGAUUCAGUCUCUGAAAGAUUGGUAAAUGGAGGUGGAACAAGUCACUGGCAUCAGGCUUUCCAGCUUUUAUGCCUCUGAGAGACAGAACCAGAGCAUGACUUGAUUAAGUGCUCAAUAGACCACUUAUGGGGCUGGGGAUUUAGUUCACUGGUUCCACCGCCUGCCUUGCAAGCACAAGGUCCCGAGUUCGAUCUCCGGUACCAAAAAUUAGACCACUUAUGUGAAUCAACUUAAUUUUAUUGAAAUUCAGUGUAUGCCAUAUUGUCCAACUCUAAGGCAGUCUCAAAUAUCAAAUUUUCCCUAUGAAAAAGUCCAAAACGUCUGGAUGUGGUGGUGCACACCUAUAAUCCUAUCACUCGAGAGGCUGACGCAGGAGAAUCACUGUGAGUUUGAGGGCAAUCUGGGCCACAUAGUGAGUUCAAGGCCAGCCUGAACUAUAUACCAAGACCCUCAAAAAACAAAACAAAAUAAAACAAAACAGUCCAAAAAACUGUUUUCAUGUUAAGUUGAAAACAUCUGUACUUUUAGGUAUGUAGGUGGCAAAAUGUACAUUUACAUUUAGGGAGAGACUGAGGGUGCAGCUCAGUGGUAGACCAUUUGCUUAGCAUGCCUGAGGCAUGGGGUUCAAUUCCCAGCACUCCAAAACUAAAUAAAUAUACCCGUACUAAUUUAAAAUCACAUACUUACUGGAGAUGUAGCUCAGUCAAAGAGUAGUUGGCUAGCACGUCUGAGGUCCUGGGUCUGAUCCCAGCAGUCACAAAAAUAAAAACAUCACAACAGGCAUGGUGACACACAUGCAUGAUGACUCCGAAGACAGGGGCAGGAGGAUAGGAGUUCAACACCUGCCUGGACAACUUAGCAAGCCUUUGUCUCAGAAUUGUAAAGAAGGGCUGGGGAUUAGGUCAGAGGUAAGAGCACUUGUCGAGCCUGUGUAAGGUCUAAAUUCAAUCUUCAGUAACAAAAAAGGAAAGAAAGAAAAUCACAACAUACUUUAUAAAAUAACAUUAGUUUAAAAAUACUGCUUUUCAUCUUACUCCUAAAACAUUUUUCUUUAAACUCUUCACGUGCAUGUUUUGGGGGGUUGGUGGUGGUACUAGGACUUGAACCCAACCUUUGGCCUGAGCUACAUACCCAGCUCUUUUUUAUUUUUUAUUUUGAGACAGGUUUUUGCUAAGUUGUGCAUACAGCCUGGGCUCAAACUUGGUGGUCCUCCUGCCUUAGCCUUCUUGCUGGGAUUACAGGUGUGCACCUCCAUACCCAGCUGUCACUGACUAUUUUAUUCCAAGUUACAAGAUUGUACUUUCACAAUAGUAAAAACUGUUCUUUACAAUGUGUCUAGUUGGUGUAUGUUUGUGAUAACCGUGACUUAAUCACUCUAUUUUAAAAAUUAUCUUUAAAAGGCUGGUUUAUAAUAGUGAUUUACACAUAGAUGUGUGAAUUUAUGUCCUCAGGAAUAAUUACUAAGUCUGUGAUUAAUUUGCCUUUUUUCAUUAAUAUGGUAGCCAAAGCAGCCACAUCUAGACCUUGAGUGAGGUUGUUUUAGGCUACUGUGUCAACCCCAAUUGCAACUUUGUAUUCUAAAUU